This 1962-nucleotide ribosomal RNA is filed under the name Triticum aestivum (bread wheat). RNAcentral's name for it is "partial small subunit ribosomal RNA". The record is from RNAcentral. Lineage: Eukaryota; Viridiplantae; Streptophyta; Magnoliopsida; Poales; Poaceae.
AUGACAGGUUGCAGAGAUAGAAGUUCUUGGAUGACGGACACAUCGUCACCAUCACGAGAGUUGGGACAACACACACAAGCAUAUGGUCAGGUUAUCUCUUUACCAUCAUUUGAGGAUAGAUUUAAUCCUGCUAUUUAUCUAGCUUGGGAGCUUGAAGUAGAACAAGUUUUUAGUCACCAUGAUUUUUCUGAACUUGAGAGAGUACGAGCUACCAUUAGAGCAUUUACUGGUUUUGCUUCUGUUUGGUGGAGUGUACAUUGUAAGAAAAACAUUGAUAACCAACCCACAACUUGGAAUGUUUUGAAAGCUGUAAUGAGACAACAAUUUUUCCCUCCUUAUUAUCGUCGUGAAUUGCUUCGCAAAUUUGAACAAUUUAAACAAGGCAACAACACUGUUCAUGCUUACUACCAAGAGUUCAAAUCUUAUAUGCAUCAUUGUGACAUAAAAGAAUCUGAGAAUGAUACAAUGAAUAGAUUUUUUGGUGGUUUGAACCAUGAUAUUCAGGCAAGAUUUCAGUAUAUUCCUCGUUGCAUUACUGGUAUGUAUGUCCGUGCUUGUACCUUUGAGAGACAGAUACAGGAGGAUGCAUUAGGUGACUACAAUAACUACUAUUCCAGUUCAUGCUCACCACCGCCGGUGGGUUCCUCCAUCAUUGCACCUCGGAUUAUGAGCGCGGCAUCAUCUCAAGGGUAUGGUACAUUGUCAACGUCCGUACCUACAUCAGCUACAUCUUUGCCACAAGGUAACAGUAAAGAUAUUGAUGAUAUAACUUCACAUGAGAAAGAUGCAUUCCUAGUUAACUUGAAUGCGUCAUGUAUUGAGUUACCUGUUGAUUUGAGCACACCACCUAUUUUAGAGAGUGAUCAAACAACUGAAAUAUCAACAAUUUUGAGUGCACCCAUUGAAUUAACUGUUGAUGCAAAAGAACUAAUGUUUAAUCAUUUUGAUAUGGCCUCCAAUCUUGGUGAUGAUUCUGUGUCCAAUGACUUAUUGCAUGUUUGCUUAUUUAAGCAUGUCGUAGCAUGUAAAUUUGAUGCAAGUAAGGUUUAUUCACCAAAGUUGGGAUGGUUUAAGGAUGAACAUUGCGAAUCUUUUGAAAUGAAUAAGAGCUUCACUUAUAUGUGCAAACUGAGUUCUAAUAUUUUCAUGCCUUCUACUUCUUGUGAUAAUUUUUUGGCUUUAGUUUUUAUGAACUAUGAAAGUUACUCGUGUAUACAUGUGUCAUACGUGCAAAAAUCAAGGGAAGUUAAACUGGAUGACAUAUACAUAUACAACAUGUACACCUUGUCUCUUUUGUUAGCCACAUUUCAGAUUAAGCAACGCCGAGGACGGCUUUGUUUUCAAAAAGGGGAGGAUGAUGAGGACAUGAAUACCUUGGAUACGACCAAAAAUAUUGCAUACAUGCAUAUUUGUCAGGUGAUUUCUAAUGCAAACUAUUCAAUAAUCUAUUUAUGUUAUCCAGAACAAAAAUACUUCACACACUUUUGUGUUUUGUCUAAUUGCAGGUGUAUGGGACAUUUGUACAAUCCACAUAUGAAGAUAAGGGAAAAGGAGAAGUUUAGGUUGUGUUCAAAAAGUCCUCUCACGUCAUUUUUGGGCCAAGAGAAGAUAGAGUCCAAGUCUCUCACGUUUUGGAUUCAGAUUCGGACUGCACAGACAUACCUGACUCAAAACGCCAACAACUUUUUCAUACGGACUUCGAAUUGGGUGAUUCUUUUUUUGUUGGAAACUAGAUUUCGUGCUCUUUCCAACCCAAUUGGAUUCACCUUCAAAUUCGUCCGGAGCGUUGAGUUACGGACGAAACAAUCUAACAUUGCAGUAGAAUCCGAGUCAAAUUACAAGCCCAAAGGUGUUGCAUCACCUCCACUUGGGCCCAUGAGCCUUGUACGACCUAGGGUUAGUUUUAGGCUGCCUUGGGACGUCCUCCCACCUCCUUGGCCGCCACCCCUUGCUCCUAUAUAA